RNAcentral lists this non-coding RNA (45 nucleotides) under Schistosoma curassoni. The record is from RNAcentral. Lineage: Eukaryota; Metazoa; Platyhelminthes; Trematoda; Strigeidida; Schistosomatidae.
AUCCAGCUGACGAGUCCCAGAUAGGACUAAACGUGCGUCCAGGAU